AGUCGAACGAUGACGACCGUGCUUGCACGGUCUGAUUAGUGGCGAACGGGUGAGUAACACGUGAGUAACCUGCCCCCCACUCUGGGAUAACCUCGAGAAAUCGGGGCUAAUACCGGAUAUGAGCUCCUACCGCAUGGUGGGUGCUGGAAAGUUUUUCGGUGGGGGAUGGACUCGCGGCCUAUCAGUUUGUUGGUGAGGUAAUGGCUCACCAAGGCGAUGACGGGUAGCCGGCCUGAGAGGGCGACCGGCCACACUGGGACUGAGACACGGCCCAGACUCCUACGGGAGGCAGCAGUGGGGAAUAUUGCACAAUGGGCGAAAGCCUGAUGCAGCGACGCCGCGUGGGGGAUGACGGCCUUCGGGUUGUAAACCUCUUUCAGUAGGGAAGAAGCGAAAGUGACGGUACCUGCAGAAGAAGCGCCGGCUAACUACGUGCCAGCAGCCGCGGUAAUACGUAGGGCGCAAGCGUUGUCCGGAAUUAUUGGGCGUAAAGAGCUUGUAGGUGGCUUGUCGCGUCUGCCGUGAAAACCCGAGGCUCAACCUCGGGCGUGCGGUGGGUACGGGCAGGCUAGAGUGUGGUAGGGGAGACUGGAACUCCUGGUGUAGCGGUGAAAUGCGCAGAUAUCAGGAAGAACACCGAUGGCGAAGGCAGGUCUCUGGGCCAUUACUGACACUGAGAAGCGAAAGCAUGGGGAGCGAA
This 700-nucleotide ribosomal RNA is filed under the name Brachybacterium sp. RNAcentral's name for it is "bacterial SSU rRNA". It matches the Rfam family "Bacterial small subunit ribosomal RNA", at positions 60 to 772 of the family's 1533-position model. The record is from RNAcentral. Lineage: Bacteria; Bacillati; Actinomycetota; Actinomycetes; Micrococcales; Dermabacteraceae.